GGAUUUCACGACGCCUCAUAAAAAGCCUGAGUGAUAGGUUGGAAGGUUAUCCUUUAUAAAGGCUGUAGGUGUUCCUAGUUUUGUGGAAGCUUUGUGCUUCUUGUUCGGCAUUAUGCACCACACCGUGGGUGUCGUUCAAAGGUGCUACAAGGCCUUCAUGUUGAUACUCGAUAGUCUUUUAAAUGUCUGGCAAUACUCGUUUUUGCAUUUUAUGCACGGAAUGAGCAAGUGUCGUACUUCAAUCCGUUUCUUAAUCCAGACGUAUGAAACACUCCGACGGAUUAGCGGUGGAUUGGCGCGGCUUAAAAAUACCUUAAUCCGCGACUUUUAAUCCAAGUGGAAACACCCCCAAUCUGCGGUAAUGUCAGCCCCCUGACAGCCCCGGUUCCACAAUCAAUAAUUUGGUUUCAAUUAUGCCCGUCGAUUUUGCAUUACAAACCUGAAUAAUAUGUUCCUCGGUGCAGAAAUAAGUUUAUUCCUAAUCCAUGGACGCUGGGGUCCUCCGGGCCCCACCCAGACCACCGCCGAUGAGUUUCAAUAUUUGUACAAACGACGGGUUUGGGGUAUGUGAUGACACGCACGCACGCAACAGUGUCCAGAAUCGUGUCAUGGCGCACGCUUAGAUGCUCUGAAAUGCAGUCCAAUUGGCUGCUGCUUCAAAAGGGUUGCAGAGCCCAAAAAUGUACCGAUAACGCCCGCUGGAGUGCUCAUUAAAUGGAUCGUUCGUACACCAUCAUUCGUUUUGAUCAUAGCCGGGCGUCGUGUUGAAAGACAGUCGUCAAGACUCUCCAGGCUGCAGUUAUGCCACACAGCAGGUCAGAAGCAGUCCUAUACCUGGUUGAUUCGUGCGUGUGACCUUUGUGGCAGUGUCCAUGGCAUAUAAGUGCUACAAGACGG
This 897-nucleotide long non-coding RNA is filed under the name Volvox carteri. Its description in RNAcentral is "long non-coding RNA (VCAR_LNC001013)". Lineage: Eukaryota; Viridiplantae; Chlorophyta; Chlorophyceae; Chlamydomonadales; Volvocaceae. The record is from RNAcentral.